This 463-nucleotide ribosomal RNA is filed under the name uncultured bacterium. RNAcentral's name for it is "partial 16S ribosomal RNA". It matches the Rfam family "Bacterial small subunit ribosomal RNA", at positions 28 to 507 of the family's 1533-position model. The record is from RNAcentral.
GAUGAACGCUGACAGAAUGCUUAACACAUGCAAGUCUUUGGCGAAGCUGUGCUUGCACAGCCUAGCCAAGGCGGACGGGUGAGUAACGCGUAAGGAACUUGCCCUGCAGUCAGGGAUAACAGACGGAAACGACUGAUAAGACCUGGUAAAGUCAGGCGGACUCAUGUCCAGCCUGAUGAAAAGAGAUGCUGCAGGAGAGCCUUGCGUCCUAUUAGCUUGUUGGUGGGGUAACGGCCCACCAAGGCGAUGAUAGGUAGCCGGCCUGAGAGGGUGGACGGCCACAAGGGGACUGAGAUACGGCCCUUACUCCUACGGGAGGCAGCAGUGGGGAAUAUUGGACAAUGGGGGCAACCCUGAUCCAGCAAUUCUGUGUGCACGAUGAAGGUUUUCGGAUUGUAAAGUGCUUUCAGCAGGGAAGAAAAAAAUGACGGUACCUGAAGAAGAAGCGACGGCUAAAUACGUG